GAUGAACGCUGGCGGCGUGCCUAAUACAUGCAAGUCGAGCGAACGGACGAGAAGCUUGCUUCUCUGAUGUUAGCGGCGGACGGGUGAGUAACACGUGGAUAACCUACCUAUAAGACUGGGAUAACUUCGGGAAACCGGAGCUAAUACCGGAUAAUAUUUUGAACCGCAUGGUUCAAAAGUGAAAGACGGUCUUGCUGUCACUUAUAGAUGGAUCCGCGCUGCAUUAGCUAGUUGGUAAGGUAACGGCUUACCAAGGCAACGAUGCAUAGCCGACCUGAGAGGGUGAUCGGCCACACUGGAACUGAGACACGGUCCAGACUCCUACGGGAGGCAGCAGUAGGGAAUCUUCCGCAAUGGGCGAAAGCCUGACGGAGCAACGCCGCGUGAGUGAUGAAGGUCUUCGGAUCGUAAAACUCUGUUAUUAGUGAAGAACAUAUGUGUAAGUAACUGUGCACAUCUCGACGGUACCUAAUCAGAAAGCCACGGCUAACUACGUG
Molecule: ribosomal RNA, 497 nt
Filed under: uncultured bacterium
Lineage: Bacteria
Description: partial 16S ribosomal RNA
Rfam family: Bacterial small subunit ribosomal RNA
Source: RNAcentral